RNAcentral lists this unclassified non-coding RNA (1990 nucleotides) under uncultured fungus. RNAcentral describes it as "sequence contains 18S rRNA gene, ITS1, 5.8S rRNA gene, ITS2, 28S rRNA gene". The stretch from base 835 to 1990 matches the Rfam family "Eukaryotic large subunit ribosomal RNA", at positions 1 to 961 of the family's 3401-position model. The record is from RNAcentral. Lineage: Eukaryota; Fungi.
GGAAGGAUCAUUACCACACCUAAAAAUCUUUCCACGUGAAUUGUUUUGCUGUAAACUUGGGCUUCGCCGUUGUUUCCUCGUAAAAAAAAAGGGAGCGCGGUUGGAGGCCAUCAGGGGUGCGUUCGUCGUGAGUUUUGUUAUUCGCGCGAGUGCGUCCUUUUGUCAACCCAUUUCUUUUGAAAACUGAUCAUACUGUGGGGACGAAAGUCUCUGCUUUUAACUAGAUAGCAACUUUCAGCAGUGGAUGUCUAGGCUCGCACAUCGAUGAAGAACGCUGCGAACUGCGAUACGUAAUGCGAAUUGCAGGAUUCAGUGAGUCAUCGAAAUUUUGAACGCAUAUUGCACUUUCGGGUUAUGCCUGGAAGUAUGUCUGUAUCAGUGUCCGUACACUAAACUUGCCUUUCUUGCGUCGUGUAGUCGUCGCUGGGAAUGCGCAGAUGUGAGGUUUGUCUUGCUUUCGUUCAUUUGAAUUUUUGGACAGGAGCAAGUCCCUUUAAAGUCGGACGUGUUUUCUCUCUGUAGUGUGCUGUGUCGGCGCUGGCGGCGUGUGAGACUCUUUGUCUGUUGACGAGUCUGGCGACCUUUGGCUCGUGCAUUGCGGGGUAUGCUCGAUUGGCGGUAUGUUAGGCUUCGGCUUUGACAAUGCAGCUUAUUGUGUGUGCUUCGUGGCGCGUGGCUGUAUGGGUGAACCGGAUGGUCUUCGGUCCUUUAUUGUGAGUUUUGCGCGCGUGUCUGUUGCUGGUUUGGCGUGCUGCGUUGGGGGACGGUCACCAUUUGGGAAUUUGUGCUUUUGUUUUGUGAUUAUUUUUUUGUUGCAAAAUAGGCAUCUCAAUUGGACCUGAUAUCAGACAAGAUUACCCGCUGAACUUAAGCAUAUCAAUAAGCGGAGGAAAAGAAACUAACAAGGAUUCCCCUAGUAACGGCGAGUGAAGCGGGAAGAGCUCAAGCUUAAAAUCUCUGCGCAAGUUUUGCGCGGCGAAUUGUAGUCUAUAGACGCGGCAUCAGUGCGGCCGUUCGGGGUAAGUUCCUUGGAAGAGGACAGCAAUGAGGGUGAUACUCCCGUUUGUACCCGAGUGUGUUGCACGUACGAUGCGUGUUCUUUGAGUCGCGUUGUUUGGGAAUGCAGCGCAAAGUAGGUGGUAAAUUCCAUCUAAAGCUAAAUAUUGGUGCGAGACCGAUAGCGAACAAGUACCGUGAGGGAAAGAUGAAAAGAACUUUGAAAAGAGAGUUAAAGAGUACCUGAAACUGCUGAAAGGGAACCGGGUCGUUGCCAGUGUCUAUAAUCCGCUGCAUAUUUCACUGCCGUGCGAGUCCGUGUCGCGCGUUGGUAGUAGUUUGUUCUGCACCGCGUGUGUCUGUGGGUUUGCUUGGCGGUGCCCUGUGUGGUGGUGGGACGUCAGAGUCAGUUCGUGUUGCUGCGGGAAAUGGCUGUCGAGGAGGUAGGUCAGGAGCUUGCUUUUGGCUGUUAUAUCUUGGCGUGCUAGUUGUCGUGGUUGGGACUGAGGUGCCUUACAACGUGCUUUUGGAGUGUGUGUGCGUCUCUGUGUGCGUCCGGAUUGGAUAGCUUGCUAUGCAGUUUGUCACGUGUGCGGAUGGAUGUGCGUGCUUACUUUUGGCCGUUCGGGACUUUGACGAAAUGGCGCGAUCCGACCCGUCUUGAAACACGGACCAAGGAGUCUAACAUGUGUGCAAGUGUUAGGGUGUGGAAACCCAAGCGCGAAAUGAAAGUAAAGGACAGCGUUGGUUGUCUGAGGUAGGAAACCCUUGCUCGUCAGGGGUGGCGCUAUCGACCGAUCAUGAACCCUCGUGGUGAAAGAUUUGAGUAUGAGCACAUAUGUUGGUACCCGAAAGAUGGUGAACUAUGCCUGAGUAGGGUGAAGCCAGGGGAAACUCUGGUGGAAGCUCGUAGCGAUUCUGACGUGCAAAUCGAUCGUCAAACUUGGGUAUAGGGGCGAAAGACUAAUCGAACCAUCUAGUAGCUGGUUCCCUC